CCUGACUGUCCCCCUCACCAGGCUCUGGGGAGGAAAAGGAGCCCAUGGCAGACCAGACACCUGACCGGCCAGGGUCCCCUGGCCUGCAAGGAAGACGUUCAUGGGUGAGUGUGUGGUGGUGGAUGAACUGUAGCAGAACCCGAGAUUGACAGCUGGAACCCUCUCCUCUUGCAGGUCUGGGUGAAAAGCGUGGGACCCUCAGCCCAGAGCCGCACAAGACUUGGAUUUGCUUUGGAAACCACUGUGAUUUUCAACAAGAUCGUCAAGAUCGGUCAAAUGGCCUGGGUGGAGACGGGGAGCUGGGGAGUUGGGGAUGGAAGCCGUUUUUAAGCCAAGAGGAAUCCAAACCACACACAGUAGUCCCCUUCGCCACCACCCUCCCCCCGCCCCCUGCCAUGAGGUCCAUGGCUGUGUCCUCAUUUCACAGAUGAGGAGACAGGCACAGAGCAGCAGGCAUGGCCAUGUGGCCGGUCACGGUCACGCAGUAGAGGGAGGCCUGGGGGCCGGAGAGGGGCGCCUAAGGCCACACAGCAGGGCUGCACCAGUGCGCAUGGCUGAGAGGCAGGUUCCAGGAGUUUCUGUGAGUUAUUGCUCAACAUCAAGAAAACGCUGUUCUAUGAGAGGAACUUCACCAGGAUCCACGGGGGAAGUGGAAGCGGUCUUGUGAUAGGAGUUUCAAAGGCCUGUGCUCUGGCAAAUAGGAAAAAACAGGCUGAGAAAACAUAUCAGGCAGGCCUGCUUGUGAGGGAACCUGGCAGACAUCCAACCAGCAGUCUGGUGGCCAAUCCGGUUAUCAGACAUGCCCUUAAUCCAUCAUUCCGCAGCGGGCAGGUCACUGGCCACACAGGCUUCAGGCCUCCUGGCUUGAGGGAACUUGGGGUUGCCAUCAGGCCCGUAUGAAUCAGAAAUUCUGGGCUGCUCACCCCCCCCCAGGCACCCCCACACUGUCCCUCCUCUGCGAGUUUGCCUCUCCAUUCUCUUUACCUUCACUGUCUCUGUUACCUGUGGUCUCAGUGAUGCUCAACAAACCACCAAGUCCAGUGGCUU
Piliocolobus tephrosceles (Ugandan red Colobus) is the source of this 1047-nucleotide long non-coding RNA. RefSeq lists it as uncharacterized. The transcript has 3 exons. The record is from RefSeq and is a predicted model, not a curated record. NCBI's taxonomy places the organism in Eukaryota, Metazoa, Chordata, Mammalia, Primates, Cercopithecidae.